Molecule: ribosomal RNA, 721 nt
Filed under: Achromobacter sp. 110602_136_C_F9
Lineage: Bacteria; Pseudomonadati; Pseudomonadota; Betaproteobacteria; Burkholderiales; Alcaligenaceae
Description: bacterial SSU rRNA
Rfam family: Bacterial small subunit ribosomal RNA
Source: RNAcentral
GGCUCAGAUUGAACGCUAGCGGGAUGCCUUACACAUGCAAGUCGAACGGCAGCACGGACUUCGGUCUGGUGGCGAGUGGCGAACGGGUGAGUAAUGUAUCGGAACGUGCCUAGUAGCGGGGGAUAACUACGCGAAAGCGUAGCUAAUACCGCAUACGCCCUACGGGGGAAAGCAGGGGAUCGCAAGACCUUGCACUAUUAGAGCGGCCGAUAUCGGAUUAGCUAGUUGGUGGGGUAACGGCUCACCAAGGCGACGAUCCGUAGCUGGUUUGAGAGGACGACCAGCCACACUGGGACUGAGACACGGCCCAGACUCCUACGGGAGGCAGCAGUGGGGAAUUUUGGACAAUGGGGGAAACCCUGAUCCAGCCAUCCCGCGUGUGCGAUGAAGGCCUUCGGGUUGUAAAGCACUUUUGGCAGGAAAGAAACGUCAUGGGUUAAUACCCCGUGAAACUGACGGUACCUGCAGAAUAAGCACCGGCUAACUACGUGCCAGCAGCCGCGGUAAUACGUAGGGUGCAAGCGUUAAUCGGAAUUACUGGGCGUAAAGCGUGCGCAGGCGGUUCGGAAAGAAAGAUGUGAAAUCCCAGAGCUUAACUUUGGAACUGCAUUUUUAACUACCGAGCUAGAGUGUGUCAGAGGGAGGUGGAAUUCCGCGUGUAGCAGUGAAAUGCGUAGAUAUGCGGAGGAACCACCGAUGGCGAAGGCAGCCUCCUGGGAUA